UACGAAGGGGGCUAGCGUUGCUCGGAAUCACUGGGUUUAAAGGGUGCGUAGGUGGGCUAGUAAGUCAGGGGUGAAAUCUCCGGGCUUAACCCGGAAACUGCCAUUGAUACUAUUAGUCUUGAAUACCAUGGAGGUGAGCGGAAUAUGUCAUGUAGCGGUGAAAUGCUUAGAUAUGACAUAGAACACCAAUUGCGAAGGCAGCUCGCUACGCGGUUAUUGACACUGAGGCACGAAAGCGUGGGGAUCAAACAGG
This 253-nucleotide ribosomal RNA is filed under the name uncultured bacterium. RNAcentral describes it as "partial 16S ribosomal RNA". It matches the Rfam family "Bacterial small subunit ribosomal RNA", at positions 524 to 776 of the family's 1533-position model. The record is from RNAcentral.